GUGUCAGCCGCCGCGGUAAUACGAAGGGGGCUAGCGUUGUUCGGAAUCACUGGGCGUAAAGCGCUUGUAGGCGGAUCGUUAAGUCAGGGGUGAAAUCCCGAGGCUCAACCUCGGAACUGCCUUUGAUACUGGCGAUCUUCGAGUCCGGGAGAGGUGAGUGGAACUCCGAGUGUAGAGGUGAAAUUCGUAGAUAUUCGGAAGAACACCAGUGGCGAAGGCGGCUCACUGGCCCGGUACUGACGCUUAAGAGCGAAAGCGUGGGGAGCAAACAGGAUUAGAAACCCGCGUAGUCC
Molecule: ribosomal RNA, 293 nt
Filed under: uncultured bacterium
Lineage: Bacteria
Description: partial 16S ribosomal RNA
Rfam family: Bacterial small subunit ribosomal RNA
Source: RNAcentral